UAGUCCAACUCGCCUCGCCUGUGGAAUGCAGCGACGAGCCGACGAGCGAGCGUGCGCGGGGCAGCAACGCCUGGGAUGAGGAUGCGUCGGCGGCCGCCGAGACGCCGCCGGAGCGCGGUACGCGCCGAGGUCGAGGGGCACAGUACAAUAGGAGACUAAGCAAAGUCAACUUAUGCAGGUCAAUCUUUUUAAUUCUCAGAACAUGGCCCAAGACACCAAUUAUUGAGCUUAAGGAUGAGGAUGCAAAUAUAGGUACAAUGUUUUCAGCUCUUGGGCAUGUGUAUAUCAUUCAUAUUACUGCUCUUCCUCUACUGAAGCCUUCAUCGAUCGUGGUUCACUUGCUGGCUUGUUACAGGUCCGGUGAAGAACACAAUCAGCUAGAACUUCCCACACAUACAAGAAAAUAUGGCAGAAGCUGCAGUAGUUCAGGCCCUCAUCAAGAUUGGCACUACUUUCGGAGAUGCAGCACUGCAACCGCUCAAAGACAUCAUAAAGAAAGAAGUAGCUUUGUUGCAGGAACUACCAGAGCUCGCAAAAUCCAUUGGAAGGGAACUGGACAUGAUUAAUAGCUUCCUCAUGCAAGUACGGGCGAAGAUCCACAGCACUGACAAUGAAGUUCUGAAACGCUGGGUGGUGAGAGUACGCCAGGUGGCCUACCAUGUUGAGGACAUAAUAGAUGAGUACUCCUACAAUGUUGCUCUGUUGCAGGAGGAAAGCUAUUUAAGUAGAAUGAUGCGUGCAACCUACUAUGGUACAACUUUCCAUGGCAUUGCUACUGGACUGAAAGAUGUAGACAGUGAGAUCAAACAAUUAUCGGGAAUGAAGACAAAAUAUGCAGAGUACUUCAGCGAGUUGCAUAGCAACACUAGUGCUAACACACAAGCUCAUCUCUGCCGUGAUAGCUCCCUCCAUAUGAUCAAAGAAGGCAUUGUUGGCAUGACAGAAGAGAUAGAGUUAUUGAAUUCGUGGUUAGCACCAAAUGAUCCCACUAGAGCGGUGUUAUCUGUGUGGGGUCUGUUUGGGCUGGGGAAAACAACUCUUGUCAGGAAGGUGUAUGAAUCUAUGAAAGAGCAGAAGAGCUUUCAAUGCUAUUCCUGGAUUGAGGUACCACACGAGUACAACAAUGAUGUUACAUUAAGGCAAUUAAUAAGGGAUCUAGCACAAGAACAAAGCCAAGUGUCUGCAAACCUCGAUAGUAUGUAUGGCAGCCAGCUGGUUGAUAUAUUAUGUGAUGUAUUAUCAGAUAAGAGGUACUUAAUUGUUCUUGAUAAUGUCUGGGAUGCUGAUGCAUUUCGUGGUAUAUCAAGCUUCUUGAUUGACAAUCGUAAUGCUAGUCGAAUUAUCAUUACGACUAGGACAAGUGAUGUUGCUUCACUGGCUCAAGACAAAUACAAGCUCAAGCUUAAGCCCUUGGGUGAUGAUGAUGCAAUGGCACUAUUUUGUAGAAGGGCCUUUCACAAUGACAACAUGGAGUGCCCUUCACACCUUAAGGAUCUGUGUAAACAAAUUGUGAAAAAGUGUGGUGGCUUACCAUCAGCCAUCUAUGCUAUAGGCAAUGUGCUUGCUGUCAGAGAAAAGACUGAAGUGGCAUGGAAAAUUAUGAAUGAUCAAUUCCAUUGUAUGUUAGAGGACAACCCUGGCUUGGGAGAAGUGAGGAGUGCCCUAAGUGUUAGCAUCUUGUUCCUUCCAAGGCAUCUCAAGAACUGCUUCCUCUACUGCAGCUUGUUUCCACAGAACUACCGCUUGUCUCGUGAAAGCCUUGUGAAGCUGUGGACAGCAGAAGGGUUCAUAACAAAGAGAGGAAACAGCACUCUGGAGGAAGUUGCAGAUGAGUACUUGAUGGAGCUGAUCCGAGGAAGCUUGUUGCAACUCUUGGAGACAGAUGAGAUCGGUAGAGUGGCCUUCUGCAAAAUGCAUGACAUUGUGCGUGACUUGGCUCUCUCUUACUCCAGAAAGGAGAUGUUUGGCCUUAGUGAGGGAGACCUCCAAACAGAUCAGAAGGAAGAUGUUCGACGCCUGUCAAUAUCCAAGGGAAACAAGAAUGUGGGACCAAGCUUGGAUUUUCCUCGCCUACGAACUUUCAUCGCUACCAAUGGAGCUGCAGAGUCAGAUUUAUUGAAUUCUCUCAUACCAAAAUCGAAGUACCUUGCUGUUCUGGAGCUCCAGGACUCACCCAUCAACAUAAUUCCAGCAAAUAUUGCAGACUUGUUCAACCUGCGCUAUCUUGGGUUGCGGAGGACCAAUGUGAAAUCACUUCCCAAAUCUAUUGAGAAGCUCCACAAUCUGGAGACUCUGGACCUCAAAUACACUGGGAUAGAUGAGCUGCCCAAGGAGAUCUGUAAACUGAAGAAACUGCGGCACUUGUUUGCCGACAAGAUCAUUGCUAGUCGCAGUGUGUUCAGAUACUUCAAAGGUAUGCAGCUGCCUCAAGGAUUUUCCCACAUGGAUGAAAUUCAGACCCUUGAAACAGUUGAGGCAACCAAGGAUUCAAUUGAGCUGCUUGGGAAGCUGAUUGCACUUAGAACCCUGUGGGUCGAGAAUGUGCAUCGUGCCGACUGCACAAAGUUGUUUCUUUCUUUGUCAACAAUGGUGAAUCUCUCCAGUCUUCUCAUCAGCGCCAGCAAUGACCACGAGGCCCUUGACUUCGAUGCAUUCAAUCCUUCCGAGAUGAAUCUCCAGAAGCUCAUCAUUAGAGGCUGUCUUGAUAACGACACAUUUGGCAAACCUGUGUUCAGCAAGCAUGGUUCACACAUCAAGUACUUGUCACUCAGUUCCUCAAGAAUCGGCAAUGAUCCAUUUCCGCUGCUUGCGGAGAACAUGCCGAACCUCAUAUACCUGAGCAUCCGGAAGUGGUGCUGUGCUGAGGAAGUGGCUCUCCGUGCAGGGAAGUUCCCUCGCCUGACGACUCUCUUCCUUGGUGACAUGAAGCAGGUGCGCAGCAUUGUCAUCGAGCAGUCAGCUGUGGGUAGCUUGGAGGCAUUGUACCUGGUGUCCCUGACGGCUAUGGCAGCAGUGCCAAGUGGCUUGGAGCUCGUUGCGUCACUCAGAAAGCUCACUGUGUGGGGGCAGUCAGAUGAGUUCAAGUUGGAGUGGAAGAGGGAGAACUGGGAAUCGAAGCUGCACCAUGUGCCGGAAAUUCGCGUUUGAUCGAUCAAGAAUUGCUCCCGGGGACCAGAUGACAUGGUUGUUACUAACCAAUGGACCAUGCUGGUCUACUUCCGUGAUUUUUAAUAUGGUCAUCUUCAGAGCGACAUAUUGGGUCAGAAGCUGGUCCUUGCUGCUUAAUGAAGAGGAUGACAACUUGACGAAGGAAUGCUGCAAACUGCUAGAGAUGAGAGUGCUGGAGUUUUAUUCCAGAUAUGGUUGGAACUUCCCAAGGAGAAUACAAGAUUAGCUUCUCACCUGGAGGCUGUAUACUGCAGGGCAUCAGCAUGUUUGUUUGCUAGUUUGCAAGGUGUUGGGUGUUCUUGUUUUCCAGUUAAAAUGAAUGUUUUGAUGGUUGUUUACUCAUGUAAUGGGAGAGCUUCAAUGCUCAUGUAUGAACUUGGUUGGCUGCGUACAUUUUUUUUGGACGUAGAGGCCGGGUUUUUAAUCCAUUAUAAAAAAAAUCGGCCACCGAUGGGCGCCACUAACCGAU
RNA transcript from Oryza brachyantha (malo sina), 3637 nucleotides. It is a transcript of the gene named disease resistance protein RPM1-like, with no coding region annotated. The transcript is spliced from 5 exons. The record is from RefSeq and is a predicted model, not a curated record. Lineage: Eukaryota; Viridiplantae; Streptophyta; Magnoliopsida; Poales; Poaceae.